UACGGGGGGGGCAAGCGUUGUUCGGAAUUACUGGGCGUAAAGCGUCCGCAGGUGGCUAUUCAAGUCUGCUGUCAAAGCUCGGAGCUUAACUCCGAAUCGGCGGUGGAAACUGAACAGCUAGAGUGCAGUAGGGGUAGAGGGAAUUCCCAGUGUAGCGGUGAAAUGCGUAGAGAUUGGGAAGAACACCGGUGGCGAAAGCGCUCUACUGGACUGCAACUGACACUCAGGGACGAAAGCUAGGGGAGCGAAUGGG
This 253-nucleotide ribosomal RNA is filed under the name uncultured bacterium. RNAcentral's name for it is "partial 16S ribosomal RNA". It matches the Rfam family "Bacterial small subunit ribosomal RNA", at positions 524 to 776 of the family's 1533-position model. The record is from RNAcentral.